RNAcentral lists this ribosomal RNA (320 nucleotides) under uncultured eukaryote. RNAcentral's name for it is "partial 18S ribosomal RNA". It matches the Rfam family "Eukaryotic small subunit ribosomal RNA", at positions 1470 to 1796 of the family's 1831-position model. The record is from RNAcentral.
CCCUUAGAUGUUCUGGGCCGCACACGCGCUACACUGAAGGAGGCAGCGUGUACUCCUGGAUCGAAAGAUUUGGGUAACCCGCGAAUCUCCUUCGUGCUAGGGAUUGAGGUUUGCAAUUAUCCUUCAUGAACGAGGAAUUCCCAGUAAGUGCAAGUCAUAAGCUUGCGCUGACUACGUCCCUGCCCUUUGUACACACCGCCCGUCGCUACUACCGAUUGAAUGGUCCGGUGAAAUCUUCGGAUUGCUGGAUAGGACUUCAUUGACCUAUCUGCGAGAAGUUGCUUGAACCUUAUCAUUUAGAGGAAGGAGAAGUCGUAACA